Molecule: ribosomal RNA, 700 nt
Filed under: uncultured bacterium
Lineage: Bacteria
Description: bacterial SSU rRNA
Rfam family: Bacterial small subunit ribosomal RNA
Source: RNAcentral
CAAGUCGAGCGAGAAAGGGACUUCGGUCCUGAGUACAGCGGCGGACGGGUGAGUAACACGUAGGUAACCUACCCUUUGGCGGAGGACAACGGUCCGAAAGGACCGCUAAUACUGCGUACGUUCCUCGGGUCCUUGGACCUGGGGAGGAAAGCCGGGCAACCGGCACCAGAGGAGGGGCCUGCGUCGCAUCAGCUAGUUGGUGGGGUAAUGGCCUACCAAGGCUAAGACGCGUAGCUGGUCUGAGAGGAUGAUCAGCCACACUGGGACUGAGACACGGCCCAGACUCCUACGGGAGGCAGCAGUGGGGAAUAUUGGACAAUGGGCGCAAGCCUGAUCCAGCCACGCCGCGUGAGUGAUGAAGGCCUUCGGGUCGUAAAGCUCUGUGGGGAGGGACGAACGUCCGGGUGUAGAAUCCGGGGUGACGGUACCUCCUUAGCAAGCACCGGCUAACUUCGUGCCAGCAGCCGCGGUAAUACGAAGGGUGCAAACGUUGCUCGGAAUCAUUGGGCGUAAAGCGCACGUAGGCGGCUUCGCAAGUCGGAUGUGAAAUACCUAGGCUCAACCAAGGACGUGCAUCCGAAACUGCGAGGCUUGAGUACAGAAGAGGAUCGCGGAAUUCCCGGUGUAGAGGUGAAAUUCGUAGAUAUCGGGAGGAACACCAGUGGCGAAGGCGGCGAUCUGGGCUGAUACUGACGCUGAG